Molecule: ribosomal RNA, 482 nt
Filed under: uncultured bacterium
Lineage: Bacteria
Description: partial 16S ribosomal RNA
Rfam family: Bacterial small subunit ribosomal RNA
Source: RNAcentral
AUUGAACGCUGGCGGCAUGCCUUACACGUGCAAGUCGAACGGUAACAGGUCUUCGGAUGCUGACGAGUGGCGCACGGGUGAGUAAUACAUCGGAACGUGCCCGAUCGUGGGGGAUAACGAGGCGAAAGCUUUGCUAAUACCGCAUACGAUCUACGGAUGAAAGCGGGGGAUCUUCGGACCUCGCGCGGACGGAGCGGCCGAUGGCAGAUUAGGUAGUUGGUGGGAUAAAAGCUUACCAAGCCGACGAUCUGUAGCUGGUCUGAGAGGAUGAUCAGCCACACUGGGACUGAGACACGGCCCAGACUCCUACGGGAGGCAGCAGUGGGGAAUUUUGGACAAUGGGCGAAAGCCUGAUCCAGCCAUGCCGCGUGCAGGAUGAAGGCCUUCGGGUUGUAAACUGCUUUUGUACGGAACGAAAAGCCUCUUUCUAAUAAAGAGGGGUCAUGACGGUACCGUAAGAAUAAGCACCGGCUAACUACGUG